AAAAAUCCCAGAUUUUUUCACUAAACGUUGUAUUAGGUCGUUCAGCUUGAAACGUGACAAACGAAGAAGACGGGGCUAUUUUAGAACAGCGCAAUCUUUUGUGGCACUUUUUCUUGCGUUCGAAAUGUCCCUGUAUUCUUUCUUUGUCAUCAAAGACCACUGAGUCGGAUAUCGCCUCUCGGGCUUUUCGCAUAUGGGUUAUAGUGGAUCAUGAAAAAUAAGAAAAUUCGACGAAUAUGGGUCCAUUUUGGAAUUACAGCAGCAGAAACAGCUCGGCGUAUAAAGCCUUGUAUUCGGUGAAGGUUCUACUAUGAUUAGAAACAUUGUGAGCAGACGGCUUAAAGAUUUCGGAAAGAAAAUAUUUAACUUGAGAAUGAGUCUCAUGCCAAAUCAAUCGAGAGGGUUUAGAGCUGUGGUGGAAGCCGCCCUAUCUCAAAGAGCACGGGUGUUAGCACUCAUGUUCAGUGUCCGUAAAAAAAAAACGCAAAAAUAUUAAUCGAUGUCAAGGCAAAACAUGGACAAAUUAAAUUAAACAGAGACGUUUAAUUCUCCCUGCUAUCCCGUAAAAACGGUAACCUAUUCUUGCACUAAAUUGUCAAUUCAUGAUAGGAAACAGAUUUCUUACGACAGCGGGCGCAUGCAGCAGAGCCAAUUGGCCACCAGCCUAAAGCAAGCGCAUAGUUCUGCUAUGGUUUUAUGAAUUAGUCGAUUACAUUUGCACUAUACCGUCAGCAGUUAGAGACGACGAAUAUACAAACGAACUUUGCGUGAAGCAGACAAGAUUAGUGGACAAAAAGGCUCGGUAAUAAACAACAACAGCAGCAGUGGCAUGCAAUCUGCACCGAUGCGGUCAGCGCAUCGUUUCACGACGCCAGUAUAGCAUAAAGAAUAAAGCAAAAUUGGAAACAGUAACCGGCUGCAACUAACUGCCAUAAUGACUUAACAAAUAAGUCAUUGCCGUAAUAAAUAAUAAUAAAUGAGUCGUUGCCGUGACGAGACCAGAGCGACAUUCAUGAUGCACCCGUCAUCAUAAAGCGAAGCCAAAGAGUGACAUGAAUCAUACCAUUGUUACUGUCGUUGGAUGAGCAGGGCGGCCAUCGGACGUCUGCCUGUCCGUGGUUCGGUGAGCAAAUCUGGAUACAGAGAGAUUAUAGCCUGAUCACGACAUAGCCAGUAGAAGACGAACAUAAUAAUAAUGCAUCGUUGCUACAGAAAUGGUGUCGAUGCCUUUCGGAGGAAUGAAUGUGGGGACUGGCAAGCGCUCGUUGAUUGAACUGUAGACAUACAACUUUUACUAUUCGUCGAUCAAGCCCGAUUUAUAAGUUCAUGGACGGACUAUCGUUACUGCUAACAAAAGUCUGUAAGUGUGCUCAUAAGACAGUCAGCAGACGUGUUAAUUACCUAUCUAAUAUUAAUGGUUAUCGUCGUCGUCAACCUCCAGAUCUACCAAGACGCGGUCCAUCUUUUAUAAAACCUACUAGAAUUAAUACUAAAGCCGCUAUACUGUAUAUCGUUGGAAUAAACUGAAUAAACAUACAUAUGAUUCCUAUGUGAUAAGUUACAAAACGUGUUUGCGGAACAGCGCUUCACACAGUAGCGCUGGAAAUUCUUUCCAUUUUACUCAAUCUGCUGAUGUUUCGUAAAACAAUUACGCCACAUAAUCAAACUUGUACGAUCGUUAAUUGUUCUACAUCAUCUAAUAAUAACAUCAAAAUUGCGCCGAUCACGUCAAGAUG
Long non-coding RNA from Varroa destructor (honeybee mite), 1736 nucleotides. RefSeq lists it as uncharacterized. Lineage: Eukaryota; Metazoa; Arthropoda; Arachnida; Mesostigmata; Varroidae. The record is from RefSeq and is a predicted model, not a curated record.